CAUCUCCGCCAUCUUGUAGUCUCCCGCUCUUCACAUCUGCCCCACAUAGUACAUUGUGGACCUUUUACGUUUUGUAAUUUGAGUGGCUGUCUGAUUCAUUUUGUCCUGGCAUUUUGUGUUUCCAUAGAGACACAUUUCAGGCGAGUCACCAAUUUUUCAUGGAUCAACAAGGAAUACAUUUAGACGCCUUCACACGCAUUCAAAACGAGUGGAGACUUACCACCGUGAUCACUACAAUUUGAUUGAAAUGUUGGUUGCAGUGCAUUUGAUUAAAAUGUCUUGUUUUGUUUAAAAAUCUGGUAUUUGGGCCAUAAUCUGUGGGAUGGUUAAUCUUGUUACUGUUGUGGUCGGAGCUAGGUAAAUAGGAGUUAUCACGUGCGAUGGAGUGGCCGCCAGGUGGCACAUAGGCACGUGACAAUGCCUCACCAUCC
Molecule: small RNA, 431 nt
Filed under: Histoplasma ohiense
Lineage: Eukaryota; Fungi; Ascomycota; Eurotiomycetes; Onygenales; Ajellomycetaceae
Description: hypothetical lncRNA
Source: RNAcentral